CAUGGGACAACAUAAUCUGAUUCUGUUGUAACUUAAGAGCAGCAUACAAUAUUUAUAUGAAAAAAUGAUUAUGAAAUGGAAUUUGGAUGUACAUAUUUGUGUGGGUAAGCAGAUUUCAAUUGCAUACUGCGUUAAGAUAAAUAUUAUUCGUCGGAGGUAGCGGCGUCAGCAAUUUUUUAGUUUGUGCAUAGGUUAUUCUGUUUAAAUAGUGGUCUUGAUGAAACUGUGAUAGAAGGUUGUUUAUACAUCAGCGAUAUCUAUGUAAUUGAAAAAUAUCAAAACGAAGGUAUAGAAACACACUUGCUACAAAUGGCAGAGAAGGAAGCAUUGAAAAAUAAUAU
Mytilus trossulus (common blue mussel) is the source of this 341-nucleotide long non-coding RNA. RefSeq lists it as uncharacterized. Lineage: Eukaryota; Metazoa; Mollusca; Bivalvia; Mytilida; Mytilidae. The record is from RefSeq and is a predicted model, not a curated record. The transcript is spliced from 3 exons.